ACGGGAGGCAGCAGUAGGGAAUAUUGCACAAUGGGGGAAACCCUGAUGCAGCAACGCCACGUGUGGGAAGAAGCAUUUCGGUGUGUAAACCACUGUCGUGAGGGAAUAAUGCUUAAUUUCGGUUAAGUUGAAUGUACCUCGAAAGGAAGCACCGGCAAACUUCGUGCCAGCAGCCGCGGUAAUACGAGGGGUGCAAGCGUUGUUCGGAAUCACUGGGCGUAAAGGGAGCGCAGGCGGAGAUGCAAGCAGUCUGUACAAUACCGGGGCCCAACCCCGGACCUGCAGACUGGACUGUUUCUCUUGGAUAGUUCAGGGGCAAGCGGAAUUCCUGGUGUAGCGGUGGAAUGCGUAGAGAUCAGGAAGAAUACCAAUGGCGAAGGCAGGUUACCAGCAGAUGACUGACGCUGAGGUGCGAAGGUGCGGGGAGCAAACAGGAUUAGAUACCCUGGUA
RNAcentral lists this ribosomal RNA (451 nucleotides) under uncultured Fibrobacter sp. RNAcentral's name for it is "partial 16S ribosomal RNA". It matches the Rfam family "Bacterial small subunit ribosomal RNA", at positions 341 to 792 of the family's 1533-position model. Lineage: Bacteria; Pseudomonadati; Fibrobacterota; Fibrobacteria; Fibrobacterales; Fibrobacteraceae. The record is from RNAcentral.